CCUACGGGUGGCAGCAGUGAGGAAUGUUGGUCAAUGGGCGGAAGCCUGAACCAGCCAAGUAGCGUGCAGGAUGACGGCCCUACGGGUUGUAAACUGCUUUUAUACGGGAAUAACGCGCCUUACGUGUAGGGCUUUGCAUGUACCGUAUGAAUAAGGACCGGCUAAUUCCGUGCCAGCAGCCGCGGUAUUACGGAAGGUCCGGGCGUUAUCGGGCUUUAUUGGGUUUAAAGGGAGCGUAGGCCGCAUGUCAGGCAUGCUGUGAAAUGUCCGGGUUAAACCCGGGCCUUGCAGCGGAGACGGGCGUGCUUGAGUCCGCGGAAAGCAGGCGGAAUUCGUGGUGUAGCGGUGAAAUGCUUAGAUAUGACGAAGAACCCCGAGUGCGAAGGCAGCUUGCUGCAGCGGAACUGACGCUGAUGCUCGAAAGCGCGGGUAUCGAACAGGAUUAGAUACCCUGGUAGUC
This 460-nucleotide ribosomal RNA is filed under the name uncultured bacterium. RNAcentral's name for it is "partial 16S ribosomal RNA". It matches the Rfam family "Bacterial small subunit ribosomal RNA", at positions 338 to 795 of the family's 1533-position model. The record is from RNAcentral.